This 2712-nucleotide ribosomal RNA is filed under the name Ectocarpus siliculosus. Its description in RNAcentral is "bacterial LSU rRNA". It matches the Rfam family "Bacterial large subunit ribosomal RNA". Lineage: Eukaryota; Phaeophyceae; Ectocarpales; Ectocarpaceae. The record is from RNAcentral.
UAAUAUAUUGGUGUAGUAUGAAAAGAAUGCCUUGGAAGAAAAAUUUAGGCGUGUAUAAUCACGAAAGUGUUGGUACGAGGAAAACCUGUGACACCAACCAACCUAGUAUGGGAAACCAGGGUUAUAAAGCCCGCUGCUCUGGCAGUAAUAAGGGGAAGUGAAACAUCUCAGUACCCUGUAGACCAAAUCAACCGAGAUAUCGCUAGUAGUGGUGAGCGAAAGCGGUAAAAAGGCAAAACGAUAAUAUAAAUAACUUAUUAGUUAUUCUAAAUAAAGAGUGAACAGAAAUAUUAUUUAUAAAUGAUAUUUUUACCAUAGAAGGUGCUAGUCCUGUAAUAACUUUUUUUUUCGUUUUAGUAAAAUAAGGCAAGUUUACCUUGUUUGAGUAUUGGGGGACCACCCUCAAAGCCUAAAUGUUUUUCUUUCCGAUAGUGAACAAGUACCGUGAGGGAAAGGUGAAAAAGAAGUUGCGACAGUGCAAAGAUCCUGAAAUUUCAUAUUUGAGUCGAAGCUUACUUUAAGCAACGGCAUACCUUUUGUAUAAUGGGCAAGUGAAUCUUGAUAAAGGGCAAGCUUAAGCUGUAAAAGUGAAGGCUAAGAUAAAUCGAGUCUUAUGUGGCGAUUCAAAGUCCUUUGUUAAGUACCCGAAACCGGCUGAUCUAAGCUUGAGCAGGCUGAUAUUGUAGUGGCAACACUCUUUGGAGGGCCGAACCCGUGUAUGUGGCAAAAUACUGGGAUGACUUGAGUUUAGGGGUGAAAGGCCAAUCAAAGUCGGUGAUAGCUGGAUUUCUGCGAAAUCUAUUGAAGUAGAGCGUCUUGUUAAAGAAAAUCUGGGGUAGAGCACUGUGUAAGUAAAGGGGAGAUUAUCUCUUACUGAACUUUUGCAAACUCCGAAUACAGAUUUAUUCAUUCAGGGCAGACAGAGUAUGUAUGCAAAGAUUCAUACUCAAAAGGGAAACAGCCCAGACUGUAGGUUAAGGUCCACAAAAUAGUUUCAGUGGUAAAGGUGAUAUUUGCUCUGAGACCGUCAGGAGGUAGGCUUGGAAGCAGCCAUUCUUUUAAGACAGCGUAACAGCUCACUGACCUAGAGCAAAAGUCCCGCCAAUUUUGAGGGCUUAAAACUAUUACCGAAUCCUCAGAUAAAAGUUUUAAAUACACUUUUAUGGUAGCAGAACUUUCCGUAGGUCGUAAAAGCUAUGGCGUAAGCUAUUGUGAAGAUAUCGGAAGCGAGAAUACUUGCAUGAGUAGCAUAAAACAAUAAAAUUAAAGUAUUGUAGCCGUAAGUCCAAGGUUUACGAUCCUAAGUAAAGCUAGGUCGUGAGAGGUUAAAACCUCGAAUUAAAACGGUCCCUAAGCUAGCAAGCCAAAGCUUGCGGUAAUGGGUAAGAUUAAACUGUUAAAGGUUGCUGACGAAAAAUUCACUUUAUCUUUGAAUUUUGUCAAAGGUAAAUUAUUUUUUCCAAGAAAAAGGCACUUUAUUUAAAACCGUACCUUAAACCGCCACAGGUGGACAGGUGGAGCACACUAAGGCUUUGAGAUAACCUUGUUGAAGGAACUCGGCAAAAUGACUCUGUAACUUCGGAAUAAGGAGUAAAAAUAUGGAGCGCAAGCUCUUAUUUUUGGCACAAAAUCGGGGGUAGCGACUGUUUAUUAAAAACACAGGUCUCUGCUAACUCGCAAGAGGAUGUAUAGGGACUGACACCUGCCCGGUGCCGGUAGGUAAAGCUUUGAUGUUUACGCAUUGAGGUCAAACCCCGGUAAACGGCGGCUGUAACUAUGACGGUCCUAAGGUAGCGAAAUUCCUUGUCGGGUAAGUUCCGACCCGCAUGAAUGGUGUAACGACUUCCCCGCUGUCUCCAACAGGGACUCAGUGAAAUUACAUAGGUCGUGAAGAUGCGACCAUCCUGCAGCUGGACGGAAAGACCCCGUGCACCUUUACUAUAAGCAAGCAUUGUAAUUCAAAGACUUAAGUGUAGAAUAAGUGGGAGUUUAUGACUUUUUUUCGCCAGAGAUUAACGAGGCAAUAGUGAAAUACCACUCCGAGAUCUGUUGACUUACUAACUACGGGACAGUGUUUGCUGGGUAGUUUGACUGGGGCGGUCGCCUCCUAAAGAGUAACGGAGGCAUACAAAGGUAGGCUCAUCUCCCUAUAAGGAGAAUCGAGUAUAAUGGCAAAAGCCUGCUUGACUGUAAGAAAGACAUUUCGAUCAGGGACGUAAGUCGGUCAUAGUGAUCCGGUAGUUCUUUGUGGAAAGGCUAUCGCGCAAUGGAUAAAAGGUACGCCGGGGAUAACAGGCUAAUGAUCCUCUAGAGCCCCUAUCGACGGGUUCGUUUGGCACCUCGAUGUCGACUCAUCACAUCCUGGAGCUGGAAAAGGUUCCAAGGGUUCGGCUGUUCGCCGACGAAAGUGGUACGUGAGUUGGGUUUAGAACGUCGUGAGACAGUUUGGUCCCUAUCUUCUGUAGGUGUUUGAAAAUUCCGAGGACUAAACCUUAGUACGAGAGGACCGGGAAAACUCGAUCCCUUGUGUUCCGGUUGUUCCCAAAGGAGCAACGCCGGGUAGCUACAUCGAGAAGAGAUAAUCGACCUUUAGGCGAGAAACUCUCCUCAAGUUAAAUUUUCAUAGGGGAGUGGAAGAUUACCACUUUGAUAGGCGAGAAGUGUAAGAGCUGUAAAGUUUUUAGCUGACUCGUACUAAUACCCAAAAAUUUU